GAACUAAUUAUGUUUGUGUUUUGAAAACACAAUUUGGGUUUUUCCCUUAGUUUU
Molecule: transfer RNA, 54 nt
Filed under: Steinernema carpocapsae
Lineage: Eukaryota; Metazoa; Nematoda; Chromadorea; Rhabditida; Steinernematidae
Description: tRNA-Ser
Source: RNAcentral